UGAAUUCCUUGAAUGUGGAUUGCACAUUUGAUUAUCAAACUUUGCUAAUGGGUUUGGAAUUGAACUGGAGAAACUGAUAUUGUCCAAUGUCCUUAGUUGAUUCAGCAAAUCAACAUUACGGCAAUUACAACCGUGUGAAGCAAGUAUUGCCGCCAUUCAAGCGAAGAGACACCUCUAGGUUUGCAAUUUAGAUAAGAAUUAGAUUAAUGACAGGCCAAAUUUUGAACCUUGGUCAAGAAAAUAAAAAUUAAAUCUUUCUUUUUCCUCAACUUUCUUUCAAACCGAACAGAAGACAGAUGGGAAACAGAAUAAAUAAACAGAACAAUACACACCAG
This 335-nucleotide unclassified non-coding RNA is filed under the name Hevea brasiliensis (rubber tree). The record is from RNAcentral. Lineage: Eukaryota; Viridiplantae; Streptophyta; Magnoliopsida; Malpighiales; Euphorbiaceae.